GACGAACGCUGGCGGCGCGCUUAACACAUGCAAGUCGAACGGAAAGGCCUGCUUUCCCUUGUGGAUUGCGGGUACUCGCGUGGCGAACGGGUGAGUAACACGUGAGUGAUCUGCCCCCAACUUGGGUAUAAGCCUGGGAAACUGGGUCUAAUUCCCGAUAGGACUGCAGGGUGGUGCCUGUGGUGGAAAACGAUUUUCUAGUGGUUGGGGAUGAGCUCGCGGCCUAUCAGCUUGUUGGUGGGGUAAUGGCCUACCAAGGCGGCGACGGGUAGCCGGCCUGAGAGGGUGGACGGCCACAUUGGGACUGAGAUACGGCCCAGACUCCUACGGGAGGCAGCAGUGGGGAAUAUUGCACAAUGGGCGGAAGCCUGAUGCAGCGACGCCGCGCGGGGGAUGACGGCCUUCGGGUUGUAAACUCCUUUCGACCGCGAGGAAGCCACCUGGUUGGAAGGGUGGUGACGGUAGUGGUAGAAGAAGCACCGGCUAACUACGUG
RNAcentral lists this ribosomal RNA (494 nucleotides) under uncultured bacterium. RNAcentral describes it as "partial 16S ribosomal RNA". It matches the Rfam family "Bacterial small subunit ribosomal RNA", at positions 28 to 507 of the family's 1533-position model. The record is from RNAcentral.